GACGAACGCUGGCGGCGUGCUUAACACAUGCAAGUCGAACGGAAAGGCCCCUUUGGGGGUACUCGAGUGGAGAACGGGUGAGUAACACGUGAGUAACCGGCCCUUGACUUCGGGAUAACUUCAGGAAACUGGGGCUAAUACCGGAUAGGAAUCCUUGCUGCAUGGUGGGGGUUGGAAAGAUUCGGCGGUUUUGGAUGGACUCGCGGCUUAUCAGCUUGUUGGUGGGGUAGUGGCUUACCAAGGCUUUGACGGGUAGCCGGCCUGAGAGGGCGACCGGCCACAUUGGGACUGAGAUACGGCCCAGACUCCUACGGGAGGCAGCAGUGGGGAAUAUUGCACAAUGGGCGGAAGCCUGAUGCAACAACGCCGCGUGCGUGAUGACGGCCUUCGGUUUGUAAACCGCUUUCAGCAGGGGCGAAGCUUGUGGUGACGGUACCUUCAGAAGAAGCACCGGCUAACUACGUG
This 465-nucleotide ribosomal RNA is filed under the name uncultured bacterium. RNAcentral describes it as "partial 16S ribosomal RNA". It matches the Rfam family "Bacterial small subunit ribosomal RNA", at positions 28 to 507 of the family's 1533-position model. The record is from RNAcentral.